GGAAGUGUGGCAGAGAGGUUUAUCGCAGAAUCCUGCUAAGAUUCCGUGUCGAGUAAUCGGCACCGUUGGUUCGAAUCCAACCACUUCCACUA
This 92-nucleotide transfer RNA is filed under the name bacterium. RNAcentral describes it as "tRNA-Ser". It matches the Rfam family "tRNA". From Rfam's summary of the family: Transfer RNA (tRNA) molecules are approximately 80 nucleotides in length. Their secondary structure includes four short double-helical elements and three loops (D, anti-codon, and T loops). The record is from RNAcentral.